GUUUUGGAUAACUUUGGAUGCUAAAUUUAUAGUACAGGUAGGGGAAACUUUUUGCUUUGUAGAAACCCUCUACUUUCAUUGGAGUAUAAAUGCCAGAACUCUGGGACUGUGUUGGUCAUUCGCUGGCAGAAAGAUCUCACCUGAAUAUGUUUUUGCUGCGCAUUGCAAUUGUUUCCAUGAUCGUUGGUAUUGUUUAUGCCACCGCAACCAAAGAUCCUUUUAGGGAUAAUUGGUUUAGAGAGCUUCGAGAAAAAUUACACAAUGGUUUGUUACUCUCAGUUUUACCCAACGAAUUAAAGAUAUAAGUUUACUAUCUUUUCAGAUGUAUGUCUCCAGAAACCUUCCUAUGGAAAAUGCAAGGGCCAUCGUCGGCAGUUUUACUUCAACGCUUUGCGCUUGAAAUGCGAGUCUUUCAUCUAUUCGAAUUGCGGCGGUAAUAACAAUCGUUUUCACAGCUAUGAGGAAUGCCACGAUUUUUGCAAACAACAGGACCCGGAUACUAUCUAUAAAUCUUUACAAAUGAAUGAUUGGAUAUUAGCUAAUAUUAGAAAAUAAUUAUAAAUGGAAAUAUUCACUAAAAUAUUAAUAAUAAAAUGAUAUACGUAUGUAACGAAA
RNAcentral lists this long non-coding RNA (615 nucleotides) under Drosophila guanche. Lineage: Eukaryota; Metazoa; Arthropoda; Insecta; Diptera; Drosophilidae. The record is from RNAcentral.